UCAACUACAGAUGGAUAGUUUUAUCAUAG
RNAcentral lists this non-coding RNA (29 nucleotides) under Mus musculus (house mouse). The record is from RNAcentral. Lineage: Eukaryota; Metazoa; Chordata; Mammalia; Rodentia; Muridae.